Molecule: microRNA precursor, 59 nt
Filed under: Anolis carolinensis (green anole)
Lineage: Eukaryota; Metazoa; Chordata; Lepidosauria; Squamata; Anolidae
Description: Aca-Mir-34-P3d_pre stem-loop
Source: RNAcentral
UGGCAGUGUACUCUUAGUUAGCUGUUGUAUAUAUUACAGCAACUAAAUACACUUCCAUA